Long non-coding RNA from Lytechinus variegatus (green sea urchin), 700 nucleotides. RefSeq lists it as uncharacterized. The transcript is spliced from 2 exons. Lineage: Eukaryota; Metazoa; Echinodermata; Echinoidea; Temnopleuroida; Toxopneustidae. The record is from RefSeq and is a predicted model, not a curated record.
UUUUGGCUUUCAAUGAAGAGAGAUGACGGUGCAUGUGUAAAGCGUGCUUACAAAAUUUUUUGAAAAUUUUCUUUCGGCACUGGCAACUAGAAUUGGACACUAGGCCUAGGUGGCAGAUAUUUCGACAUUUGUCUAGCUACCUAUACCGGAUAUCUACACAAAGGAUUCAUGCUUUUAUUGGAUUAUACAGACGCUGAUUUCAGUUUUUUACUGUCUUCAGACUUCAGCCUCAGGAAUUGUUGCCGUAGAACUAAGACUAAGUUAGCUGUGCCGAUUUGUGGACCUAAAAGAUUCAGUUUGCAACUUCAGGAUUGAAUUUUUUCUUGGCGGUUCGCUUGAUUGAACUUUGGAGGUGAUUGCAUCCAGGAUUCAUUGGACUUGGGCUGAGUGACGGAGCUUCGAGUCUAACUCUAGUUUCGCGAGUUGAUCAUGCCAAAGGUUAAGGCCAAGAAAAUAACGACCGCAGGUGCGAGGAGGGAGAUGACACACCGAAGAGGAGGCCGGGUCGGCCGAGAGGUCCACGGGCGACGUCAACCCCCGCAAGUGUGGAUCUGGGGCUGGGAGGCGGCAACAACGGGCCAGGAAGGAGCGGACCUGUGGUGUGGAUCAUAGGGGACUCGAUAGUGUUUUGGGCACAUCGCAGGGCGAAGAACACCGGCGAGGCUGACCUUGGACUUGGAACGUCGGUCCGCUGGUUGGG